GCUCCAGAGUAUGCCUCUUCUGGUAAGCUCACUGAGAAGUCAGAUGUCUUUUCCUUUGGUGUUGUGCUUCUUGAGUUGAUCACAGGGCACCGGCCAGUUGAUAAGACUCAAUCCUUCCUUGGUGAUAGUAUAGUUGAUUGGGCAAGGCCUUUGCUCAAACAAGCUUUGGAAGAAGGCGUCUAUGAUGCUCUUGCUGAUCCAAAAUUACAGGGGGACUAUGAUUCCAAUGAAAUGACUCGAAUGAUUUCAUUUGCUGCAGCCUGUAUACGUCAUUCAGCACAUCUUCGACCACGAAUGAGCCAGAUAGUUCGAGCACUGGA
RNAcentral lists this unclassified non-coding RNA (320 nucleotides) under Hevea brasiliensis (rubber tree). The record is from RNAcentral. Lineage: Eukaryota; Viridiplantae; Streptophyta; Magnoliopsida; Malpighiales; Euphorbiaceae.